CGAGCAGUUUGACGACGAAUGGUAUAUCGAUAGUGGCUUCUCAUGUCACAUAACAGGGAGGAAGGAAGAGCUAAGGGAGUUUCUGUUGGGUUUUGAGCAUUCUAACACUCCUAAGUGUACAUGCAACCCUAAAUACCUUGGAUCUAUGUUUUCUCUAUUAUACAUGCAAAUAAGAACAUCCAAGGUAUUAUCCUAAUCUAGCAUACAAAAACUAUGAAUGUAACAAGAUAGAAUACAUACCUCUUUAGUGUAGCUUGAUGUCUUCAAGCUUUAAGAGCUUAGCCCCAAUAGUGUGGAAGCCUCAAGUGGAAUCACAAAUCACCAAAACACCUUGGAAGACUUUAGAGAAUAUGAUUACUUGGUUCUCUCUAGUGAAAUUGGCUAGCCCUUCUUAGUGUAUCCAUACUAGUGCCAAUUUCACCAACCAAAGACAUCUUUAUAUAGUAUGGAGGAUUAGGGUUAAACCCUAAUACCCAUGACCUUUCAUUUCCUAGGAUCCAUGGGUUAAACACUCCAUGGACUAUCCAUGAAAGCUUAGCCCAACCUAAAUGAACUUGGCCCAUUCCAUAUAUAUAAGAGUCCAUAUUUAAUUAGUUCCUUUUGAUCACUUAAUUAAUUAUAAAUUAAUUCUUGAUCAAUACUAAUUAAAUAAUAUGAUUCCAUAUUAAUAUAUUAGAACUUAUAAUAUAUUAAUAUUAAUCAUAAACAUACUAUUCUCAAAAGAUUAUCCAUAUAAAUUGUGUCGGUGAAGUGCAACCCAAAUGGACCAUGCCGGGUCGGGUCAAGUACAUACCAAAUAUAGUUAUGGACUUAGACAUUAAUCCAACAGUCUCCCACUUGGAUAAGUCUAAAACUAUUAUUGCGUAUGACUUCAAACCUAACUGGCAAUCGUAGCUCUUAAAGCUGCUGUCGAACUCUGAUCUUGUCAACGAACUUGUCCAUUAGAUAAGGGAUCAUAUAUUCCUCCAUUCUAGAUAUCAUAUGGACUGAGACAUGGAUUAUAAUCAUUCUCUCUGUCCAUUUGUUGUUUCCCGAUUUCCGAUUUAUGACGACUGACUAAUUGAACAAAUCAAAUCAGUCCUGGCCCGGCCGAGCACUUCCAUUUGUCAUCAUCAAAUCAUCGAGGGGCCCACAGAUAUCGCUUUUAUCCCGAAGGUAAAAGGAAUGGAUAAACUUCGACUCAUAUGGCUUGUUCUACUACUUGUUGAAUCAUACACAAAGGCACGUUUUAUAGCACCGAGUUACCAAAUGCGUUUUCGUGCAAUCAAUGUACAACCAACUCAUAGUAACAACUCAUAUCUCUAGGUUUGAAGAAUAUAAGAUAUUAUCGUCUCAUGAUCACUCGUGAUAAAAUCCAUGAAGUGAUUCCAAUGAGCGCGGGUUGAAUCCAAUACUCAGAACUUAUGAGCACUCAUGAGUGUUGUAGCCCUUUGUCCAACACCUUAGACCUCUACAAGCCAACCCAUGACAGUCUUAAUUCAUAUCUACUUCCAACAUAUGACCGACUGUGGAUGGUUUGAAUAACUUAGUCAUUCCGGAAGAAUAACCUAGUUUAUUCGGGAAGUCAAAACAUGCAAAGUGAAACACAAUAAUAAUUGAAUCCAAUAUGGUAUCAAAUCUUUGAACAUAAAUAAAACACCUUUUAUUUAUCACCAUAUGAUUACACAUUAUUCAUUGUAUACUGUUUCAGCUAUCAACUUUAUUCUUGAAUUUAAAACAAUAGUUGUCCCAUGCUCCAAGCAUGUACACUAUGUUUUCUUAAACACUAGUCAUGCCACACACCAAGUAUGCAUACUAUGUUUGUCUAUGAUCUUUACUUUGUGAACUAGAUCAAUUGAACAUAACUUCAAUGAUUCUCUUUUCACACUCCCAAAUCCUUACUGCAAAUGCAAGAAUUCCAAAUUCAUGCCAUUUACUGAAAUCUGUUAGAUUCUAAACUUAUAUGCAUUGAUCCUCUUGUAAUGAUUAUGCACAAAGUCAGAAAGACUUGACAACAAUCAUUACAGAGUAUUCCAAAGGAGAUCAGCUCCUUGGAAACAUCCUUCUUGCAUUAAGUUUCCUAAUCUUAAACAGAUUGAAAAUUCUAACUUUGAAACAUUUCCAGAUUCCAUUUUGACUAUCACUUCUGAACAAGAGUUGCCUCCUUACAGAUUAUGUCAAUAUGGUCCUUCCAGAAUUAUCACUAUACUUCCAACUGUCCUUGAGCAACCAAUCUUUGGUAAACCUUAGAUUGUCCUCGACAAUUGUUUAAUCCUUUUAGUCAUAUCCAGUUCUAAACCUUUUCCCUUCUUAAUGCCCCAGGCAUUUGGAAAAUUUUAGAACGGAUGAAUAUAGCACAUGUAAUCGAUCCUAUAUCCGAAGCAUAUGGGACACGAUUCAUGAUGUCUCACAUAAAGACUAAACCAGUCUUUUGCUAUAACAUUUCCAUUUCAAUUUGCCAAGUUCUCAUAAUUCAGAUUAUGAAAAGGGAUGCCGUAAUCAUAAUCGAAUUUUAGAACGCAAAUAAUGGACCCAUAUACAGAAUUUCCUUAUGUUGAGCCAUUCCAACAUGAAAUUCAUAUAUAUCCUUGACUAAAUGAUUAAAACCUCACGAUCUAAGCUUAUAGAUUUGAGAUGAAGUAUAAUUUCCUCUCCCUUAAUUAUAGCAAAACAACUUUUUCCCAAUUGAAACUUUUGUUUUCUAUAAUUAACAUUGCUAACUUGCAAUACUUAUCAUAAUUAUCAUGCUCCCACUAACAUGAUGAUUAUUAGCAUAACACUUAUGCUCCCACUAGCUUUGACAUGUACUCAGAAAUCAGCUGGACUUCUAGAAAUCAAUACUUCAUUGACUUUCUUACCAAAGUUCAGAUUUCUGAUACUAGAUUGUUUUGAUAAAACUGUAUCAAAAUCAUACACCUUCCCUUAGAUAGCACACUUGUGUAUCUAAACAAUUAUGAAGAGGGAUGCCGUAAUCAUAAUGUUUAGACCUUUUUGCCACUUCUCACAAGUCCAAGUUAGUGUGCCGGUUAACCACACGCGCUCCACUAACGACUUUGAGAAUGCAAAUAUCACAAUUGCUAUCUAGCUAAAAUCUACUUAGUGAAAGUGUUUCCUCACCAUCAUUUUCAUGAAUCGGAGAGAAACCUUAUGACACUUAGAUUUAAUGGUGUAUGUGUUCUUAUCCAUGUGAAUUGUCAAAAUCAUAGUCACAAGACAAGGAUAAUGACAAAUCCAAACUCAUAUGGACUGAACUCAAUCUUAAUUUCUUGCCACCUGGCAGCUCAAGGGCCUACCAUUGCUUCCAAGUUGUUGUGCAACAAAUUGAGAACUCUAAGAACUCAUAUGCAAAGCCAACUUUAACUGGAAUGGGCACAGAAUAUGUCAACACGAUAGGUUAUGAACCUCAAGUUGUGUGCUAGUGAAGAACUUUAGGUUUUAUUCUUGAUUAGUUCUUGAGACUUUCAAGACCUUUAAGACUCCCACUGUCCUCUUGACCUAUAAGACUCCCUUGUCAAACAUCCAAGAGAUAGUGCGGAUUCUAAUCAAGAAAAACACUUCACACAAUUGGCCUAAGUUGGUCUUUGUUUUAUCCAAAACAUCACAACUUACCAAUUUCAAAUGUACAAGAGUAGAAAACUUUUACUCUUACAUUUGACAAGUGUUUUAAACCUUCUUUAAGACAUGUCACUCAAAUGACAAUCUUGGAGUAUGACUCUAAGACUUGUAUUGGAACGAAGUAUGACUCAUCUUCUUGAUUUAACCAUUUCAACAAUUCAAGUUCCUCUUCUUAGUCAUAAGAAUGCACUAAGAUUUCCUUAGAGAACUAAUUUUGAUAUGGUUUCUUAAUCAUUAAGAUGAUCACAAAACUGAUACUAAAGUACUCUCCCAUCUUUUCAGAUUUGAGAAACUUUUAUCCUUCUGCCUUAUUUGAUUCUUCUUAUCGAUCUUUAGUGGUGGACUUAAUCAGUGCACAAGAAUGUGUACUCGAUCCCUAAGUCCUUUACUUGACUCACACAUCCAUGUGAACAAGUAAUUAGUCUUAAUUUUCCAAAACUUGAAAGUUCUCAUUCAUCAUGCUAUACAACUUGCAUGAUUCCAAGUUCCGGUCCAAUUGAAACUUGGGUGAUGAGAAUCUUUCCUUAUUUGGUAAAUUUAGACAUUACCACAAAUGAAAGAAUCAAUUUCAUACUUCCACUCUUGCUACUAAUGGAAUCUUAUAAGCAACAAAAAUUUCCACAGAUGCCAUUGUAAGGAUAUUUUAAAAUAAAUAAAAUCAAAAAUUUCCUUUUAUUUUAAAACUUUGCGGAAAAACUAUCCUUACAAUCCAUAUGAAAACUUGUUGUUAUCUAUUCCUAAGCAAUAUCUCAUAACUCCUAAGAAGUAGCUCAAGAAUCCGAUUUUUCAAACUAUGCGAUAGAAAUCCAUCUAUGCGAUCAGAUUCAGCAUAUUCUUCCUUUAAGUUUCUUCACUUUCCUUUGAUUCUUAAACCAUCACCAUGCGACCCGGUCACAUCAUGUAUCAAGAAUCUCAGAAUAGAAACUUAACAGAGUUAGAUAGUGGAUUUUACCUGAAGUAGAGUCAAACUUAUUGACUUUAACAUCCUUAGGUAAAUUUGGCAGCUUCGCAACCAAUGCCCUUUCUUUGGCAAUACAAACAUAUGGACCCUUUGAUAAUGGUACACAGGACUAUCACAGACUUAGCUUUUCUCUUUACCAUUUGGUCAACCGAGUUGACUAUAGCCGAUCCCUUUCCAUUGGGAAGAGAAUGCUUUACUGGAUAUCCAAUGUCAUCAUUGUCAAUGUCCAUAAAGUUUUAGGAAGUUGAUCUUAACAAAUAGAUAAGAUCAUUAAGGGUCUUGUCAUAGUCUUUUUCAUAGGUGUUCCAAAAGAACUCACUAUGUGACUUAGAAAGUAGUUGAACCACCAACUUUCUCAAGACUUUGACACCCAACUCUCCCGGCUUGUCAAUAUGUGACUACAUCUCCAAGAUGUGACCACACCUAGACCUUGCCUUGCCAAAAGGGCCUGAGUGACCUUAAACUUUUCAAGAACUUGUGGGUUAGGGAGAAUAAUUUGAAGAGGUGAAGAAGUAUGAUAUCCAUGGGACAUCAUCUUCAUUAGGAAACCUUGUUUCAAGAGAUUUGGGAAGAUCAUAGGUGUCUAAACCAGACAUCUUUUGGGAGAUAUUCAAGAUAGUUGAUUUAAAGUCCUUAAUAUGACACCCAAUAUGAAAUAUUAAGGCUAGGACCCAACAAACUAUUUUAUAACUUAGAAGAGGUAUGCCGUAAUCCAAGCUAUAAAAUAUUUGAAGGUAGGUGAAUGACGAUUCACCAAUUUCCACCAAGAUAAACGAAAUGUAUUAUUAGGUUUUAAUUGGUUUUGAAACUCCUAGAUCUUUGAGAUUCAUUGAACUUUUCAAAGGCAUGUUUCAAUCUCGAGUGUGCCCUUCAGGUUUUGUGACUGGGAUGCCGAGGAUCACAAAACAAGGUGUGAAGUAACCAUGCAAAUCACUUGGUACCCUUAAUAAAUUACCCCUCAAUCGAUGUGCCGGUUAACCACACACGCUCCAUCGAUACUAUGAUAAAUAUUAAGUCACCCUUUACCUACCUUGUUAAGUCCAAGUUAGUGUGCCGGUUAACCACACACGCUCCACUAACGACUUAGACAAAGUGUAAAGUGUAAUUUCAUGGAUUAGCACCUUAUUCACAUUUUUCCUAAGUAACUAAGAUUGGGUAUUAUUAAGAGUUUAGUUACUUAGUAUUAUCAUUAAUACUUUUAAUGAAGGGAGAAUUCUAGUCCUGUCAAACCCGUUCGGCUAACGACCCUCCACCAGUCAAGCAAGCGGUGGGUGAGAGUGGACACCCAUUAAGUUGCCAUUUUAUAGGCAACAACCUUAUACCCACCUUAUAGACCGGCUUCGUGAAUGAGGCGUACUAGCGGUAAGACUGACUUUACUCUUAUACAUAUAUAUAUUAUUAACUUAUAAUAUUAUAAAGUAUAAGGGUUGAAUUUUAACUUUUAAAAUUCUAAGGGCUAACUUGGAAUUAAAGUAUUCAUAAGUGAAAACUUUACAAAUUCCAAAACUUGAGGGCAAGUUUUGAAACUAUUCAAAACUAAUUAAUUCCAUAACUUAUGUGUUUAAAGUAGUUUUAAUCCAAAAACUCUUCAAGUUCCAUAACUUGAGGACAAGUUAUGGAAGACUUUAAACUAAUAAAAGAAUUAACUUUUCUUUAUUUUAUAACUUAUGGAAUUAAUUAAGGUUACACUUUUUUUUUUUUUAUUUUAUUUUAUUAAAUGAAGAGACUCUUGGUCCUCCAUAACUUGAGGACAAGUUAUGGAGUCAUAAAACCAUUUAAUUAGAACUAGACUCUUCAUUUUUGUAACCUUUGCCAAUUUUUAUGAGUUUUAUGAUUCUUAAAUGUGACUUUUCAUAUAACUUGAGGACAAGUUACAAAAACACAUUUUAGAAUCAAUUCUUAGAUUAAUUUGGAUUAAAACCAACUAUCACAUAAUUUUAUUCAUUAAUCUAAAUUCACUCAUAAAACAAGGUAACACAAAAAACUUUUGGUGAUCCAUAACUUAUUCUUAAGUUAUGGAAUCCUUUAAAACAUUAACACCAAAUUUUGUAACUCCAAAAAAACUUUGAAUCAAUUUUUUUUUUAAAACCUUUUCAUAUCCAUAACUUAUGGAGGUUUCAAAAAAUAAAACUCUUUAGAUCAAACUUUUAAAACUAAUAAAAUAAUCAUAUUAUUUUAUCUUUUAUUAAAUUUGACCUAAUUCAACUCAUAAAGCAAAUUAUUCAAAUUUUACAAAUAAUUAGUUUUUCACAAGAACAAGUAAUUAUCUUAAAAUUUGACAAACUUCAUGUUUUUUUUUUUUUUUUUUUUCAACUUUGAAAAUAAAAUAUUUGCAUCAAUAUAACAGAAAACAACCCGUGGCUCUGAUACCACUGUUGGGUUUUGAGCAUUCUAACACUUCCUAAGUGUACAUGCAACCCUAAAUACCUUGGAUCUAUGUUUUCUCUAUUAUACAUGCAAAUAAGAACAUCCAAGGUAUUAUCCUAACUAGCAUACAAAAACUAUGAAUGUAACAAGAUAGAAUACAUACCUCUUUAGUGUAGCUUGAUGUCUUCAAGCUUUAAGAGCUUAGCCCCAAUAGUG
Molecule: long non-coding RNA, 7138 nt
Filed under: Lactuca sativa (garden lettuce)
Lineage: Eukaryota; Viridiplantae; Streptophyta; Magnoliopsida; Asterales; Asteraceae
Description: long non-coding RNA (LSAT_LNC007494)
Source: RNAcentral